UUCUUGUGGGAUGCAACGCGUAGCCGAAGCGGAUUCUUCCCGUUGCUGCGGUUUGAGUUUAUAACCUUCACCUGCCUUCGGCAUCGUCUGCUUCACUCUUUCUCCCUUUCUGAAGAAUCAAACGCGCAGCCAAAUUCUGCAGGGGCUGCGUUCUGUUAAGGGGUCUCGCUUUGUGGCUGUACUACGAGAGAGAAUUUGGGGUGAAUAGGGGUAUGGCGUCUUCGGAUGAUGAGGCCAAAGUUCGUCCACAAUCUGUGUCAAAUUACCAUUUGGAAGAUGAUGAGAAAGAGCCUGUUUCAUUUUCUGUAUUGCCAAUUCAAUGGAGUGAAUCUGAGGAUACAAAUGGCGAAAGUGGGCAAGUGUCCCAGGAUAAAUGGAUAGUGUAUCUUGCACCUAUUUCAUAUGGUAAAUGAUACACAUCCCACGGUCGCCAUUUUACACAAGUGGAAAAACUUGAAGAGAUUGUUGAUAGGCGCCAUUGGUAUGUCCAAGGUGGUGAUAUGAUUGUGGACUUCUGCUAUGGUGCUAAUUUUUUUAGCAUCCUGAUGAACAAAAAGCUGGAAGAAACAGGGAAGAAAUGCUUUUACAAAAACCACGAUUCACUUCCAACAAAGAAUGAUUUUAUUUUGAAAUGAGGAACUGGAUGGAUGUCAAACUGAAGGAGUUGCCUAUGGGUUCAAAAUUGAUUAUGGGCCUCAAUCCCCCUUUUGGUGUUCAUGGAAAAGAUGCUAACAUGUUUGUCAAGAAGGCUCUUGAGUUUCAACCUAAACUCCUCAUUCUUAUUGUUCCUCCAGACACAGAAAGGUAUUUGUCUUCCAACCCUUCGCUGCCACCAACUUUUCUUUUCCCUUUCUCAAGACAAAUGAUGUUUCCUUACAUACUGAACAAAACAAGCCUUUUGUUCUGUUUGUCACAUUCUUCCCUUUUCUGCAGGCUAGAUAAUAAUCAACCUCCAUAUGAUCUUGUUUGGGAGGAUAAGAACUUCCUGUUAGGAAAGUCGUUUUAUCUCCCCGGACCACUUGAUGUUAAUGGGAGACAAAUGGAUCAAUAGAACAUGAGGGGACCUAUACCUUAUCUUUGGAGUCGUCAUGAUUGGACUAAUAAACACAAGGCGAUAGCCCACAAGCAUGCUAAUGUCCCCAGCGAAUGUGAUGCGCUGAUAGAAAAGAGAUUUGAUGAAAUCUCACUUGCUGAUCAUAUUAUGAAUGGUAAUCAUGGCGACAAUCUCACACUCGGUCAUGACCUUCCCCCCAAAGCAAGACUAUGAUCCCAAAGAUAGUCGGGUUUCAAGGAAGGAGGGUGAGGAAGAAAUCUCGUCUCAUGAUCUUGCCUUUGGGAAUCAUGUGGUACGAGAACACUGCUCAAUAAAUCUUUGAGAGAAUGUUCGCUAUGAAUAUGCACUUGAGAAUGUUUUUUUGUAUCUUCUCCAUGUGUUCUCUUACUUCAUUCAAUAUCACUUCUACCUGUAGCGCAGCUUUGAAGUUGUCUGUUAGAUGCAACCGUUGGAACUUCUGUAGAGCAUUAAAUGAAACUUUCCGUUGAAGUUUCAGUCCGAAGUGGUUGGAUGCAUUUAAUGCCUCUGAUAGGAGUACUUUUAGAUCUUAAUCUUGUUAAAUCUCAAAUCUUUCUUUGAACUCCUGCAAAGAGUGUUAUAAUCUUUCAGUUCAUAACCCAUACUGGAUUCAA
Molecule: RNA transcript, 1686 nt
Organism: Neltuma alba
Lineage: Eukaryota; Viridiplantae; Streptophyta; Magnoliopsida; Fabales; Fabaceae
Gene name: protein ENHANCED DOWNY MILDEW 2-like
Exons: 8
Source: RefSeq, a predicted model, not a curated record